GAGAGUUUGGAAUCUGGCUCAGGACGAACGCUGGCGGCGUGCCUAAUACAUGCAAGUCGAACGAACUCUGGUAUUGAUUGGUGCUUGCAUCAUGAUUUACAUUUGAGUGAGUGGCGAACUGGUGAGUAACACGUGGGAAACCUGCCCAGAAGCGGGGGAUAACACCUGGAAACAGAUGCUAAUACCGCAUAACAACUUGGACCGCAUGGUCCGAGCUUGAAAGAUGGCUUCGGCUAUCACUUUUGGAUGGUCCCGCGGCGUAUUAGCUAGAUGGUGGGGUAACGGCUCACCAUGGCAAUGAUACGUAGCCGACCUGAGAGGGUAAUCGGCCACAUUGGGACUGAGACACGGCCCAAACUCCUACGGGAGGCAGCAGUAGGGAAUCUUCCACAAUGGACGAAAGUCUGAUGGAGCAACGCCGCGUGAGUGAAGAAGGGUUUCGGCUCGUAAAACUCUGUUGUUAAAGAAGAACAUAUCUGAGAGUAACUGUUCAGGUAUUGACGGUAUUUAACCAGAAAGCCACGGCUAACUACGUGCCAGCAGCCGCGGUAAUACGUAGGUGGCAAGCGUUGUCCGGAUUUAUUGGGCGUAAAGCGAGCGCAGGCGGUUUUUUAAGUCUGAUGUGAAAGCCUUCGGCUCAACCGAAGAAGUGCAUCGGAAACUGGGAAACUUGAGUGCAGAAGAGGACAGUGGAACUCCAUGUGUAGCGGUGAAAUGCGUAGAUAUAUGGAAGAACACCAGUGGCGAAGGCGGCUGUCUGGUCUGUAACUGACGCUGAGGCUCGAAAGUAUGGGUAGCAAACAGGAUUAGAUACCCUGGUAGUCCAUACCGUAAACGAUGAAUGCUAAGUGUUGGAGGGUUUCCGCCCUUCAGUGCUGCAGCUAACGCAUUAAGCAUUCCGCCUGGGGAGUACGGCCGCAAGGCUGAAACUCAAAGGAAUUGACGGGGGCCCGCACAAGCGGUGGAGCAUGUGGUUUAAUUCGAAGCUACGCGAAGAACCUUACCAGGUCUUGACAUACUAUGCAAAUCUAAGAGAUUAGACGUUCCCUUCGGGGACAUGGAUACAGGUGGUGCAUGGUUGUCGUCAGCUCGUGUCGUGAGAUGUUGGGUUAAGUCCCGCAACGAGCGCAACCCUUAUUAUCAGUUGCCAGCAUUAAGUUGGGCACUCUGGUGAGACUGCCGGUGACAAACCGGAGGAAGGUGGGGAUGACGUCAAAUCAUCAUGCCCCUUAUGACCUGGGCUACACACGUGCUACAAUGGAUGGUACAACGAGUUGCGAACUCGCGAGAGUAAGCUAAUCUCUUAAAGCCAUUCUCAGUUCGGAUUGUAGGCUGCAACUCGCCUACAUGAAGUCGGAAUCGCUAGUAAUCGCGGAUCAGCAUGCCGCGGUGAAUACGUUCCCGGGCCUUGUACACACCGCCCGUCACACCAUGAGAGUUUGUAACACCCAAAGUCGGUGGGGUAACCUUUUAGGAACCAGCCGCCUAAG
This 1490-nucleotide ribosomal RNA is filed under the name Lactiplantibacillus plantarum. Its description in RNAcentral is "Lactobacillus plantarum partial 16S ribosomal RNA". It matches the Rfam family "Bacterial small subunit ribosomal RNA". The record is from RNAcentral. Lineage: Bacteria; Bacillati; Bacillota; Bacilli; Lactobacillales; Lactobacillaceae.